CUGAACAGAAGUGCUUCUGGACUAGUGC
RNAcentral lists this non-coding RNA (28 nucleotides) under Homo sapiens (human). The record is from RNAcentral. Lineage: Eukaryota; Metazoa; Chordata; Mammalia; Primates; Hominidae.